GCAUAUCAAUAAGCGGAGGAAAAGAAACCAACAGGGAUUGCCUCAGUAACGGCGAGUGAAGCGGCAACAGCUCAAAUUUGAAAUCUGGCAGCCUCCGGGCGGUCCGAGUUGUAAUUUGAAGAGGAUGCUUUUGGCGAGGCGCCUUCCGAGUGCCCUGGAACGGGACGCCACAGAGGGUGAGAGCCCCGUAUGGUUGGACGCCGAGCCUCUGUAAAGCUCCUUCGACGAGUCGAGUAGUUUGGGAAUGCUGCUCAAAAUGGGAGGUAAACCCCUUCUAAAGCUAAAUACUGGCCAGAGACCGAUAGCGCACAAGUAGAGUGAUCGAAAGAUGAAAAGCACUUUGAAAAGAGAGUUAAAUAGCACGUGAAAUUGUUGAAAGGGAAGCGCUUGCGACCAGACUUGUGCCCGUCGAAUCAGCCGCCGCUCGUCGGCGGCGCACUUCGGCGGGCUCAGGCCAGCAUCAGUUCGCUGCAGGGGGAGAAAGGCGGUGGGAAUGUGGCUCUUCGGAGUGUUAUAGCCCGCCGCGCAAUACCCCUCGGCGGACUGAGGACCGCGCAUCUGCAAGGAUGCUGGCGUAAUGGUCGUCAGCGACCCGUCUUGAAACACGGACCAAGGAGUCGUCCUAAUAUGCGA
RNAcentral lists this ribosomal RNA (633 nucleotides) under Scedosporium aurantiacum. RNAcentral's name for it is "eukaryotic LSU rRNA". It matches the Rfam family "Eukaryotic large subunit ribosomal RNA", at positions 38 to 689 of the family's 3401-position model. The record is from RNAcentral. Lineage: Eukaryota; Fungi; Ascomycota; Sordariomycetes; Microascales; Microascaceae.